This 478-nucleotide ribosomal RNA is filed under the name uncultured bacterium. Its description in RNAcentral is "partial 16S ribosomal RNA". It matches the Rfam family "Bacterial small subunit ribosomal RNA", at positions 28 to 523 of the family's 1533-position model. The record is from RNAcentral.
GACGAACGCUGGCGGCGCGCCUAAAACAUGCAAGUCGAACGAGAAGCCCGGGCUUGCCCGGGUGGACAGUGGCGAACGGGUGAGUAACACGUGAGGAACCUGCCCCGAAGACCGGGACAACACCGGGAAACCGGUGCUAAUACCGGAUACCUUCGCCGGAUCGCAUGGUCUGGUGAAGAAAUGGAUUCCGCUUCGGGAUGGCCUCGCGCCCUAUCAGCUUGUUGGUGAGGUAACGGCUCACCAAGGCGACGACGGGUAGCUGGUCUGAGAGGAUGUCCAGCCACACUGGGACUGAGACACGGCCCAGACUCCUACGGGAGGCAGCAGUUAGGAAUCUUGCGCAAUGGACGAAAGUCUGACACAGCGACGCCGCGUGCGGGAUGAAGGCCCUCGGGUUGUAAACCGCUUUCAGCAGGGACGAAAUUGACGGUACCUGCAGAAGAAGCCCCGGCCAACUACGUGCCAGCAGCCGCAGUAA